This 183-nucleotide unclassified non-coding RNA is filed under the name uncultured fungus. RNAcentral's name for it is "sequence contains ITS1". The record is from RNAcentral. Lineage: Eukaryota; Fungi.
UUAACGAUUAUAUAGUUACUCGGACGACACUAACAUUCAGAGUCUGUGAGGUCUCUGGCGGGCGCGCGCCAGCCGGGGCCGGCGGCCCGCCAAAGCAACGAGAGUAGUGAUAGCAAUGGGUGGGAGAUCUACCCGGAGGGCAUGAACUCUGUAAUGAUCCCUCCGCAGGUUCACCUACGGAGA